CCAAGGCGUGGGAAAGGUUGU
This 21-nucleotide microRNA is filed under the name Mus musculus (house mouse). Its description in RNAcentral is "mmu-miR-8099". The record is from miRBase by way of RNAcentral. Lineage: Eukaryota; Metazoa; Chordata; Mammalia; Rodentia; Muridae.